AUGUAUGUAUAUAACUUACUAAUGAAACUUGUAUUAUGAAUUUAACCACUCUGGUUCGUAUUGAAUAUAAGCUAUUAAAAAACUUGAAACCCAAAUUUUAUGGGUGUUUUUUUUCUUACCCAAGUUUUUAGAAUUGCAAAUUAAAUUAUUUUUAACCAUUCCUACUACCAUCAGUUUUAUGGUUAACAUUCUUAGGCACAAGUGACUAAAUGCAACUUUUAUAUUCAGAGAAUCUUUACAUGUUUAUUAAAAACUAAAUUUGAAGAUACAUUCUAAUCUUGCAUAAAAUGUUAAUGCUGGGCUUUUACAUUACCUAACUUGAGAACUUGUUUUUACAAAUUGUGUGUCAUGUCAUGUUUAAGGCUAUCUUGCCUGACCACCUGAUCCUACCUGCAAUGAUAAAACCGUAUUUCCUAAACAAAUUUGAUUAAGAAACCCUCACCUGUCCAGUCCCCUGAGCUUUUAAUUUUACUGAUUUUAAGGACUUAAGAAUUACCUGGCUACUUUGUCAUCUAGGUAUCAAAACACAAAACUCUAAAAAUGGAAAGUAAUAUGGACUAGAUGGAGCCCAUGAGGUAAAUAUGAAUGUUCAAUUUGGAGGUUUAGUUCUACAAGACUGCACCUAAACCUGUGAUAGGUAUAUUCCUAAGAAUACCUUUGUAAAUUCUGAAUAUAAUUCUUGGUUGGGUUUGCUGUAGUCAACAAUAGACAAUUUAAGUUAGCAUAGACCUUGAGGCCUUGCUGAGUAAUUAGGCUCUGCAAAAGAGGUUAGAAAUGUGAUGAUUCUUUAGAUAACUUAUUUAUUGGUAGCUACUAUUUUCUGACAGUGGGUAAAUGUAAAACUUUGAGUCUUUGAAGAAUAAUUUUUUAGAACACAAACAUUAAGUAAAACUUAAGAAUGAUGAAAGUAUAUAUAUUUUAGAAAUUUCAUUAAGCACUAGAUAAGAUCAAAAAACAAGGAAGUAAGCAUGCAUUUCCCAAGUAUAAUAUUAAAAGGAUUUAUUUACUAUUGUACUUUGAUUUAAAAGUUUGCAAGGAACAAGUUUAAAUUCACUAGGUUCAAAUAUGCUCCCUUAUGAUUUAAAAUUUGCUGUGUGAAAUAAGUUUUUUACAAGACCUAAAAUAAAUGUACGCCCAAUAAAGAAUCAACACUGCUUCACAUGUUUUAUUUUGUCAUACAUUCUUUUAGAACUGGGUUCAUUUUUCCAGUUUUGUAGAAAAAUAGAUGUUCCGGCCACCAUUUACUUACUGUCUAGUCUUUAAGACCAAUCA
Molecule: non-coding RNA, 1272 nt
Organism: Ceratotherium simum simum (southern white rhinoceros)
Lineage: Eukaryota; Metazoa; Chordata; Mammalia; Perissodactyla; Rhinocerotidae
Source: RefSeq, a predicted model, not a curated record